GACGAACGCUGGCGGCGUGCUUAACACAUGCAAGUCGAGCGGUAAGGCCUUUCGGGGUACACGAGCGGCGAACGGGUGAGUAACACGUGGGUGACCUGCCUUUAGCUUCGGGAUAAGCCUGGGAAACCGGGUCUAAUACCGGAUAUGACCUCAUGUCGCAUGGUGUGGGGUGGAAAGUUCUUCGGCUAGAGAUGGGCCCGCGCCUAUCAGCUUGUUGGUGGGGUGAUGGCCUACCAAGGCGACGACGGGUAGCCGGCCUGAGAGGCGACCGGCCACACUGGGACUGAGGAUACGGCCCAGACUCCUACGGGAGGCAGCAGUGGGGAAUAUUGCGCAAUGGGCGGAAGCCUGACGCAGCGACGCCGCGUGGGGAUGACGGCCU
This 382-nucleotide ribosomal RNA is filed under the name uncultured bacterium. Its description in RNAcentral is "bacterial SSU rRNA". It matches the Rfam family "Bacterial small subunit ribosomal RNA", at positions 28 to 417 of the family's 1533-position model. The record is from RNAcentral.